GCCCAUGUAGCUCAGCGGUAGAGCAGCGCAUUCGUAAUGCGCGGGUCGGGGGUUCGAAUCCCUUCAUGGGCU
Molecule: transfer RNA, 72 nt
Filed under: bacterium
Lineage: Bacteria
Description: tRNA-Thr
Rfam family: tRNA
About the family: Transfer RNA (tRNA) molecules are approximately 80 nucleotides in length.
Source: RNAcentral